CAGUAGCCGCGGUAAUACGAGGGGGGCAAGCGUUGUUCGGAAUUAUUGGGCGUAAAGCGCACGCAGGCGGUCUGACAAGUCAGAUGUGAAAUCCCCGGGCUUAACCUGGGAACUGCAUUUGAAACUGUCAGGCUGGAGUCUUGUAGAGGGGGGUAGAAUUCCAGGUGUAGCGGUGAAAUGCGUAGAGAUCUGGAGGAAUACCGGUGGCGAAGGCGGCCCCCUGGACAAAGACUGACGCUCAGGUGCGAAAGCGUGGGGAGCAAACAGGAUUAGAGACCCCUGUAGUCCCUGUCUCUUAUAC
RNAcentral lists this ribosomal RNA (301 nucleotides) under uncultured bacterium. RNAcentral's name for it is "partial 16S ribosomal RNA". It matches the Rfam family "Bacterial small subunit ribosomal RNA", at positions 509 to 807 of the family's 1533-position model. The record is from RNAcentral.